AUGAAGGGAGGAACUGCUUCUACUUUUCUUCUGAAAUCUCAAUGCCAUGUCUUGAUUUUCAGAGGCCAGCGUUCUCGAGUGGCAGAGCGGAGCCGUUUGCCUAGCGGGUCGAGCAGGUCAUCAAGGGACAGCUUAAUGCAUAUUUCUACAAUCAAAGAAGGCAAGGACGAGGCGGAGGAGUUCCUGAAGAUGGCCAAGGAGAAGACUGACGACGUUGCCGAGGGCGCAAAGGAGACAGUGCAGGAGACCAAGGAGGUGGUGCUCGGCGAGUCCGACGAUGACAUGGACAAGUUCAAGCAGCAGGUCGAGCAGGGGAGCUACGAUCAGAAAUAA
This 333-nucleotide ribosomal RNA is filed under the name Triticum aestivum (bread wheat). RNAcentral describes it as "partial small subunit ribosomal RNA". The record is from RNAcentral. Lineage: Eukaryota; Viridiplantae; Streptophyta; Magnoliopsida; Poales; Poaceae.